AGAUGCGAAAUAGAUAUUACUAUGUUUGUUUACGGUACAAAAAGACGGUCAUCUU
RNAcentral lists this transfer RNA (55 nucleotides) under Caenorhabditis afra. RNAcentral's name for it is "tRNA-Arg". Lineage: Eukaryota; Metazoa; Nematoda; Chromadorea; Rhabditida; Rhabditidae. The record is from RNAcentral.